GAUGAAGAACGCAGCGAAAUGCGAUACGUAAUGUGAAUUGCAAAUUCAGUGAAUCAUCGAGUCAUUGAACGCACAUUGCGCCCCCUGGUAUUCCGGGGGGCAUGCCUGUCCGAGCGUCAUUGCUGCCCUCAAGCAUGGCUUGUGUGUUGGGCCCCGUCCUCCGAUCCCGGGGGACGGGCCCGAAAGGCAGCGGCGGCACCGCGUCCGGUCCUCGAGCGUAUGGGGCUUUGUCACCCGCUCUGUAGGCCCGGCCGGCGCUUGCCGAUCAACCCAAAUUUUUAUCCAGGUUGACCUCGGAUCAGGUAGGGAUACCCGCUGAACUUAAGCAUAUCAAUAAGCGGAGGA
Molecule: unclassified non-coding RNA, 345 nt
Filed under: soil metagenome
Description: partial contains 5.8S ribosomal RNA, internal transcribed spacer 2, and large subunit ribosomal RNA
Rfam family: 5.8S ribosomal RNA (bases 1-119)
Source: RNAcentral